This 392-nucleotide ribosomal RNA is filed under the name uncultured bacterium. Its description in RNAcentral is "bacterial SSU rRNA". It matches the Rfam family "Bacterial small subunit ribosomal RNA", at positions 32 to 403 of the family's 1533-position model. The record is from RNAcentral.
AAUCAACGCUGGCGGCGUGCCUCAGACAUGCAAGUCGAACGCGAAAGGUUCCUUCGGGAGCCGAGUAGAGUGGCGCUCGGGUGAGUAACACGUAGGUAAUUUGCCUUUGGGUGGGGAAUAACAAUCGGAAACGGUUGCUAAUACCGCAUAAUGCAGCGGCUCGACAUCGAGACAGUUGUUAAAGCGGGGGAUCUUCGGGACCUCGCGCCUAAAGAGAAGCCUGCGGCGGAUUAGCAGUUGGUGAGGUAAUGGCUCACCAAGGCGACGAUCCGUAACCGGCCUGAGAGGGCGGACGGUCACACUGACACUUAAAUACGGGUCAGACUCCUACGGGAGGCAGCAGUCGGGAAUUUUGGGCAAUGGGCGAAAGCCUGACCCAGCAACGCCGCGUG